This 322-nucleotide ribosomal RNA is filed under the name uncultured Bacillota bacterium. Its description in RNAcentral is "bacterial SSU rRNA". It matches the Rfam family "Bacterial small subunit ribosomal RNA", at positions 28 to 351 of the family's 1533-position model. Lineage: Bacteria; Bacillati; Bacillota. The record is from RNAcentral.
GACGAACGCUGGCGGCGUGCCUAACACAUGCAAGUCGAGCGGAGACAAUAGUAAUAUUGUUUUAGCGGCGGACGGGUGAGUAACGCGUGGGCAACCUACCUUUCACUGGGGGAUAACACAGGGAAACUUGUGCUAAUACCGCAUAACAUCACGAGAUGACAUCAUCUUGUGAUCAAAGGAGUAAUCCGGGGAAAGAUGGGCCCGCGUCCGAUUAGCUAGUUGGUGAUGUAACGGACCACCAAGGCGACGAUCGGUAGCCGAACUGAGAGGUUGAUCGGCCACAUUGGGACUGAGACACGGCCCAGACUCCUACGGGUGGCUG